GACGAACGCUGGCGGUGUGCUUAACACAUGCAAGUCGAACGGUAAGGCCCUUUCGGGGGUACACGAGUGGCGAACGGGUGAGUAACACGUGAGUAACCUGCCCUCAUCUCUGGGAUAACAGUCGGAAACGGUUGCUAAUACUGGAUAUGAGCUUGCACGGCAUCUUGUGGGUUGGAAAGAUUUUUUUUGGUUGGGGAUGGACUCGCGGCCUAUCAGCUUGUUGGUGAGGUAGUGGCUCACCAAGGCUUCGACGGGUAGCCGGCCUGAGAGGGCGACCGGCCACAUUGGGACUGAGAUACGGCCCAAACUCCUACGGGAGGCAGCAGUGGGGAAUAUUGCACAAUGGACGGAAGUCUGAUGCAGCAACGCCGCGUGCGGGAUGACGGCCUUCGGGUUGUAAACCGCUUUCAAUUGUGACGAAGCUUUUUUGUGACGGUAGCAGUAGAAGAAGCACCGGCUAACUACGUG
This 468-nucleotide ribosomal RNA is filed under the name uncultured bacterium. Its description in RNAcentral is "partial 16S ribosomal RNA". It matches the Rfam family "Bacterial small subunit ribosomal RNA", at positions 28 to 507 of the family's 1533-position model. The record is from RNAcentral.